AAUCCCUAGAUCUCUCCUGUUGCUCCCCACGCACGCCGGCGCCCACGCCUCCGACCGCCGCCCCGCGCUGCCCGGGGCUACCGCCGGUCUAUCCCACCGCUGCCCCACGCCGCCCUUCCUCUGUAGCACCGCCCCAUGCUGCCCUUCCUCUGUAGCACCGCCCCACGCCGCCCUGUCCCUACAGCGCAGCCCAACUCCGUCACGCCUCUCUCCGCCGCCAGCUCCACACCCUCGUGAUCUCUCUCCGGUUGGCCGCCUCUUUCCAACAUCCCUGGCCCGACCUCCCCAUCUCCACCGUCCAGCUCACGAAGACACACGCAGCGGCAGAUUUGGAUGGGGGCAGCGUGCGCCUGGGCAAGGGCAUCUCUCUCUGUCUUUGGCUGGGCAGGGGCACAGAAGCGGCUGAGUUAAACAGAGGACAACUGUUUGUAACAUUGAGCCGAUGAAGAGAAGUAGCAGAAUAUUCGACGCCACCUUAGUGCAUAAGGAGGAAAAAUGGCAAGCGCAAGCGGAAAAGCUAAAGAUGGUGGGGUCACGGAGGAACAACUGAAAGCGUUUGAGUAUAAAUACAGAAAAGUAGGACCAGGGAACAAAAUGAAGCAAGUCAUCCUGCUAAAUCAAAACUAUAGUAUAUCCAUCCACAUAUCCUAACUGUAGUAUAUCCCUGCAGCACACUCUGUUAUGGGCAUAAAUAAACACAUAUGCACGUAUUCAUUAUCAAAACACAAACAAUAUAUAUGAUAACAAAACAGUAGGCAGUGAUGUUGUCAACAUGUCUAGUCAUCAUAAAUCUCCUUACCUUUUUUCUUAUAGUCUCGCAGUGCUAUCACCAAAAAGAAUCGCUCCAAUGAAGUGCCUCAUACAUCCGGGAGCAAGAGUC
Triticum aestivum (bread wheat) is the source of this 880-nucleotide long non-coding RNA. RefSeq lists it as uncharacterized. The transcript is spliced from 3 exons. Lineage: Eukaryota; Viridiplantae; Streptophyta; Magnoliopsida; Poales; Poaceae. The record is from RefSeq and is a predicted model, not a curated record.